UCCUCGAUGGUCUAACGGUCUAUGAUUUCCGCUUGUCACUCUUACGAGAACGAGCGCGGGAGACCUGGGUUCGACUCCCAGUCGGGGAG
Molecule: transfer RNA, 89 nt
Filed under: Aspergillus puulaauensis
Lineage: Eukaryota; Fungi; Ascomycota; Eurotiomycetes; Eurotiales; Aspergillaceae
Rfam family: tRNA
About the family: Transfer RNA (tRNA) molecules are approximately 80 nucleotides in length. Their secondary structure includes four short double-helical elements and three loops (D, anti-codon, and T loops).
Source: Rfam by way of RNAcentral